This 490-nucleotide ribosomal RNA is filed under the name uncultured bacterium. RNAcentral's name for it is "partial 16S ribosomal RNA". It matches the Rfam family "Bacterial small subunit ribosomal RNA", at positions 30 to 507 of the family's 1533-position model. The record is from RNAcentral.
AUUGAACGCUGGCGGCAGGCCUAACACAUGCAAGUCGAACGGUAACAGGAAGAAGCUUGCUUCUUUGCUGACGAGUGGCGGACGGGUGAGUAAUGUCUGGGAAACUGCCUGAUGGAGGGGGAUAACUACAGGAAACGGUAGCUAAUACCGCAUAACGUCGCAAGACCAAAGAGGGGGACCUUCGGGCCUCUUGCCAUCGGAUGUGCCCAGAUGGGAUUAGCUAGUAGGUGGGGUAACGGCUCAGCUAGGCGCCGAUCGCUAGCUGGUCUGAGUGGCUGACGACCCACAGUGAGACUGACACACGACCCUGACUCUGAGGGGAGACAACGAUGGGGAAGAUUGCACGAAGGGGGCAAGCCUGAUGCAGCGAUGCAGCGUGUAUGAAGAAGGCCUUCGGGUUGUAUAGUACUUUCAGCGUUGAGGAAGGGAGUAGAUUUAGUACCUGUACUCAGUGACGUUACCCGCAGAAGAAGCACCGGCUAACUCCGUG